Molecule: ribosomal RNA, 376 nt
Filed under: uncultured bacterium
Lineage: Bacteria
Description: bacterial SSU rRNA
Rfam family: Bacterial small subunit ribosomal RNA
Source: RNAcentral
GACGAACGCUGGCGGCGUGCUUAACACAUGCAAGUCACGGGGCCGCAAGGGUAACCGGCGAACGGGUGCGUAACACGUGAGCAACCUACCUCGAUGUGGGGGAGUAGCCGGCCCAACGGCCGGGUAAUACCGCAUACGAUUGUUUUGGGGAGGCCCCAGGACAAGGAAACCUCCGGGGCAUUGAGAGGGGCUCGCGGCCUAUCAGCUAGUUGGCGGUGUAACGGACCACCAAGGCGACGACGGGUAGCUGGUCNGAGAGGAUGGCCAGCCACAUUGGGACUGAGAGAUGGCCCAGACUCCUACGGGAGGCAGCAGUGGGGAAUCUUGCGCAAUGGCCGAAAGGCUGACGCAGCGACGCCGCGUGUGGGAUGAAGCA